CAUUGCCGCUCCAACCUUUAUACACUUUUCUAUUUGUCCCAUACAAAGAGUACACCUGUUGCCGCUCCAACUUUUUUUGCUGAUCCUAAAAAACCCAUAUUAAGGAGCAUUGAGAAUUCGUUUCUGCUUGGGCCACUUCUUGUUCAUGCAAGCGACGGUGGUGCUGGUGGUUGGCGAUGGUAGGCGG
Long non-coding RNA from Papaver somniferum (opium poppy), 187 nucleotides. RefSeq lists it as uncharacterized. The transcript has 3 exons. Lineage: Eukaryota; Viridiplantae; Streptophyta; Magnoliopsida; Ranunculales; Papaveraceae. The record is from RefSeq and is a predicted model, not a curated record.